GACGAACGCUGGCGGCGUGCCUAAUACAUGCAAGUCGAACGCACUCUCGUUUAGAUUGAAGGAGCUUGCUCCUGAUUGAUAAACAUUUGAGUGAGUGGCGGACGGGUGAGUAACACGUGGGUAACCUGCCCUAAAGUGGGGGAUAACAUUUGGAAACAGAUGCUAAUACCGCAUAAAACCUAACACCGCAUGGUGUAGGGUUGAAAGAUGGUUUCGGCUAUCACUUUAGGAUGGACCCGCGGUGCAUUAGUUAGUUGGUGAGGUAAAGGCUCACCAAGACCGUGAUGCAUAGCCGACCUGAGAGGGUAAUCGGCCACACUGGGACUGAGACACGGCCCAGACUCCUACGGGAGCAGCAGUAGGGAAUCUUCCACAAUGGACGAAAGUCUGAUGGAGCAACGCCGCGUGAGUGAAGAAGGUUUUCGAUCGUAAAACUCUAGUUGUUGGAGUAAGG
Molecule: ribosomal RNA, 454 nt
Filed under: uncultured bacterium
Lineage: Bacteria
Description: bacterial SSU rRNA
Rfam family: Bacterial small subunit ribosomal RNA
Source: RNAcentral